RNAcentral lists this ribosomal RNA (1030 nucleotides) under Pseudoalteromonas sp. R314A2. RNAcentral describes it as "bacterial SSU rRNA". It matches the Rfam family "Bacterial small subunit ribosomal RNA", at positions 37 to 1068 of the family's 1533-position model. RNAcentral also lists the same sequence under 1 other name. Lineage: Bacteria; Pseudomonadati; Pseudomonadota; Gammaproteobacteria; Alteromonadales; Pseudoalteromonadaceae. The record is from RNAcentral.
UGGAGGGCGCGGCUACCAUGCGAGUCGAGCGGUAACAGAAAGUAGCUUGCUACUUUGCUGACGAGCGGCGGACGGGUGAGUAAUGCUUGGGAACAUGCCUUGAGGUGGGGGACAACAGUUGGAAACGACUGCUAAUACCGCAUAAUGUCUACGGACCAAAGGGGGCUUCGGCUCUCGCCUUUAGAUUGGCCCAAGUGGGAUUAGCUAGUUGGUGAGGUAAUGGCUCACCAAGGCAACGAUCCCUAGCUGGUUUGAGAGGAUGAUCAGCCACACUGGAACUGAGACACGGUCCAGACUCCUACGGGAGGCAGCAGUGGGGAAUAUUGCACAAUGGGCGAAAGCCUGAUGCAGCCAUGCCGCGUGUGUGAAGAAGGCCUUCGGGUUGUAAAGCACUUUCAGUCAGGAGGAAAGGGUGUGAGUUAAUACCUCAUAUCUGUGACGUUACUGACAGAAGAAGCACCGGCUAACUCCGUGCCAGCAGCCGCGGUAAUACGGAGGGUGCGAGCGUUAAUCGGAAUUACUGGGCGUAAAGCGUACGCAGGCGGUUUGUUAAGCGAGAUGUGAAAGCCCCGGGCUCAACCUGGGAACUGCAUUUCGAACUGGCAAACUAGAGUGUGAUAGAGGGUGGUAGAAUUUCAGGUGUAGCGGUGAAAUGCGUAGAGAUCUGAAGGAAUACCGAUGGCGAAGGCAGCCACCUGGGUCAACACUGACGCUCAUGUACGAAAGCGUGGGGAGCAAACGGGAUUAGAUACCCCGGUAGUCCACGCCGUAAACGAUGUCUACUAGAAGCUCGGAACCUCGGUUCUGUUUUUCAAAGCUAACGCAUUAAGUAGACCGCCUGGGGAGUACGGCCGCAAGGUUAAAACUCAAAUGAAUUUGACGGGGCCCGCACAAGCGGUGGAGCAUGUGGUUUAAUUCGAUGCAACGCGAAGAACCUUACCUACACUUGACAUACAGAGACUUUCUAGAGAUAGAUUGGUGCUUCGGACUCUGAUACAGGUGCUGCAUGGCUGUCGUCAGCUCGUGUUGU